Molecule: transfer RNA, 92 nt
Filed under: Agriterribacter soli
Lineage: Bacteria; Pseudomonadati; Bacteroidota; Chitinophagia; Chitinophagales; Chitinophagaceae
Description: Terrimonas sp. NS-102 tRNA-Ser
Rfam family: tRNA
About the family: Transfer RNA (tRNA) molecules are approximately 80 nucleotides in length. Their secondary structure includes four short double-helical elements and three loops (D, anti-codon, and T loops). Further hydrogen bonds mediate the characteristic L-shaped molecular structure. tRNAs have two regions of fundamental functional importance: the anti-codon, which is responsible for specific mRNA codon recognition, and the 3' end, to which the tRNAs corresponding amino acid is attached (by aminoacyl-tRNA synthetases). tRNAs cope with the degeneracy of the genetic code in two manners: having more than one tRNA (with a specific anti-codon) for a particular amino acid; and 'wobble' base-pairing, i.e. permitting non-standard base-pairing at the 3rd anti-codon position.
Source: RNAcentral
GGUGAGGUGGAUGAGUGGCUGAAAUCAGUAGUUUGCUAAACUGCCGUACGGGUAACUCUGUACCGCGGGUUCGAAUCCCGCCCUCACCGCAA